This 400-nucleotide ribosomal RNA is filed under the name uncultured bacterium. Its description in RNAcentral is "bacterial SSU rRNA". It matches the Rfam family "Bacterial small subunit ribosomal RNA", at positions 355 to 747 of the family's 1533-position model. The record is from RNAcentral.
UGGGGAAUUUUGGACAAUGGGCGCAAGCCUGAUCCAGCCAUGCCGCGUGCGGGAAGAAGGCCUUCGGGUUGUAAACCGCUUUUGUCAGGGAAGAAACGCGCUGAGUUAAUACCUCGACGUAAUGACGGUACCUGAAGAAUAAGCACCGGCUAACUACGUGCCAGCAGCCGCGGUAAUACGUAGGGUGCAAGCGUUAAUCGGAAUUACUGGGCGUAAAGCGUGCGCAGGUGGUCAUGUAAGACAGAUGUGAAAUCCCCGGGCUCAACCUGGGAAUUGCAUUUGUGACUGUAUGGCUACAGUGUGGCAGAGGGGGAUGGAAUUCCGCGUGUAGCAGUGAAAUGCGUAGAUAUGCGGAGGAACACCGAUGGCGAAGGCAGUCCCCUGGGCCUGCACUGACACU